Molecule: ribosomal RNA, 265 nt
Filed under: uncultured bacterium
Lineage: Bacteria
Description: partial 16S ribosomal RNA
Rfam family: Bacterial small subunit ribosomal RNA
Source: RNAcentral
GCAAGUCGAGCGAGAAAGUAAAGAUGGUUUCUUUGGAAGAAGUGUUUACUAGAAAGCGGCGGACGGGUGAGUAACGCGUUGGUAACCUGCCCCAUACACAGGGAUCGCCAUUGGAAACGAUGAUUAAUACCUGAUAACACAUCGAAGUCACAUGAUCUUGAUGUCAAAGAGUUAUCGGUAUGGGAUGGACCCGCGUCUGAUUAGCUAGUUGGUAAGGUAACGGCUUACCAAGGCGACGAUCAGUAGCCGACCUGAGAGGGUGAUC